RNAcentral lists this ribosomal RNA (2894 nucleotides) under Acinetobacter baumannii. RNAcentral's name for it is "23S ribosomal RNA". It matches the Rfam family "Bacterial large subunit ribosomal RNA". The record is from RNAcentral. Lineage: Bacteria; Pseudomonadati; Pseudomonadota; Gammaproteobacteria; Moraxellales; Moraxellaceae.
GUUGUAUAGUCAAGUAAUUAAGUGCAUGUGGUGGAUGCCUUGGCAGUCAGAGGCGAUGAAAGACGUGAUAGCCUGCGAAAAGCUCCGGGGAGGCGGCAAAUAUCCUUUGAUCCGGAGAUGUCUGAAUGGGGGAACCCACCUACUUUAAGGUAGGUAUUGCAACAUGAAUACAUAGUGUUGCAAGGCGAACGAGGGGAAGUGAAACAUCUCAGUACCCUUAGGAAAAGAAAUCAAUUGAGAUUCCCUCAGUAGCGGCGAGCGAACGGGGAUCAGCCCAUUAAGUUAUGUGUGUUUUAGUGGAACGCUCUGGGAAGUGCGAACGUAGAGGGUGAUAUUCCCGUACACGAAAGGGCACACAUAAUGAUGACGAGUAGGGCGAGGCACGUGAAACCUUGUCUGAAUAUGGGGGGACCAUCCUCCAAGGCUAAAUACUCCUGACUGACCGAUAGUGAACCAGUACCGUGAGGGAAAGGCGAAAAGAACCCCUGUGAGGGGAGUGAAAUAGAUCCUGAAACCGCAUGCAUACAAGCAGUGGGAGCACCUUCGUGGUGUGACUGCGUACCUUUUGUAUAAUGGGUCAGCGACUUAUAUUCAGUAGCGAGGUUAACCGUAUAGGGGAGCCGUAGAGAAAUCGAGUCUUAAUAGGGCGUUUAGUUGCUGGGUAUAGACCCGAAACCAGGCGAUCUAUCCAUGAGCAGGUUGAAGGUUGGGUAACACUAACUGGAGGACCGAACCCACUGUCGUUGAAAAGCCAGGGGAUGACUUGUGGAUAGGGGUGAAAGGCUAAUCAAGCCUGGUGAUAGCUGGUUCUCCCCGAAAGCUAUUUAGGUAGCGCCUCGGACGAAUACCAUAGGGGGUAGAGCACUGUUUCGGCUAGGGGGUCAUCCCGACUUACCAAACCGAUGCAAACUCCGAAUACCUAUGAGUACUAUCCGGGAGACAGACUGCGGGUGCUAACGUCCGUAGUCAAGAGGAAAACAAUCCAGACCGCCAGCUAAGGCCCCAAAAUCAUAGUUAAGUGGGAAACGAUGUGGGAAGGCAUAGACAGCUAGGAGGUUGGCUUAGAAGCAGCCACCCUUUAAAGAAAGCGUAAUAGCUCACUAGUCGAGUCGGCCUGCGCGGAAGAUGUAACGGGGCUAAAACUAUGUGCCGAAGCUGCGGAUNNNNNNNNNNNNNNNNNNNNNNNNNNNNNNNNNNNNNNUGCUGGAGGUAUCAGAAGUGCGAAUGCUGACGUGAGUAACGACAAAACGGGUGAAAAACCCGUUCGCCGAAAGACCAAGGGUUCCAGUCCAACGUUAAUCGGGGCUGGGUGAGUCGACCCCUAAGGCGAGGCCGAAAGGCGUAGUCGAUGGGAAAAUGGUUAAUAUUCCAUUACUUCUGUGUAAUGCGAUGAGAGGACGGAGAAGGCUAAAUCAGCCUGGCGUUGGUUGUCCAGGUGAAAGGAUGUAGGCAUGUAUCUUAGGCAAAUCCGGGGUACUCUAUGCUGAGAUCUGAUAGCAAGCUGUACUUGUACAGCGAAGUGGUUGAUGCCAUGCUUCCAGGAAAAGUCUCUAAGCUUCAGUUACACAGGAAUCGUACCCGAAACCGACACAGGUGGUCAGGUCGAGUAGACCAAGGCGCUUGAGAGAACUCUGCUGAAGGAACUAGGCAAAAUGGUACCGUAACUUCGGGAGAAGGUACGCUGUUGUUGGUGAUGGAACUCGCUUCCUGAGCUGACGACAGCCGCAGAAACCAGGCCGCUGCAACUGUUUAUUAAAAACAUAGCACUCUGCAAACACGAAAGUGGACGUAUAGGGUGUGAUGCCUGCCCGGUGCUGGAAGGUUAAUUGAUGGGGUUAGCGUAAGCGAAGCUCUUGAUCGAAGCCCCAGUAAACGGCGGCCGUAACUAUAACGGUCCUAAGGUAGCGAAAUUCCUUGUCGGGUAAGUUCCGACCUGCACGAAUGGCAUAAUGAUGGCGGCGCUGUCUCCAGCAGAGGCUCAGUGAAAUCGAAAUCGCUGUGAAGAUGCAGUGUACCCGCGGCUAGACGGAAAGACCCCGUGAACCUUUACUGCAGCUUGACACUGAACUUUGACCUUACUUGUGUAGGAUAGGUGGGAGGCUUUGAAGCUGGAACGCUAGUUCCAGUGGAGCCGUCCUUGAAAUACCACCCUGGUAAUGUUGAGGUUCUAACUCUGUCCCGUGAUCCGGGACGAGGACCGUGUCUGGUGGGUAGUUUGACUGGGGCGGUCUCCUCCUAAAGAGUAACGGAGGAGUACGAAGGUGCGCUCAGCGUGGUCGGAAAUCACGCGUAGAGUAUAAAGGCAAAAGCGCGCUUAACUGCGAGACCCACAAGUCGAGCAGGUACGAAAGUAGGUCUUAGUGAUCCGGUGGUUCUGUAUGGAAGGGCCAUCGCUCAACGGAUAAAAGGUACUCUGGGGAUAACAGGCUGAUACCGCCCAAGAGUUCAUAUCGACGGCGGUGUUUGGCACCUCGAUGUCGGCUCAUCUCAUCCUGGGGCUGAAGCAGGUCCCAAGGGUAUGGCUGUUCGCCAUUUAAAGAGGUACGCGAGCUGGGUUUAGAACGUCGUGAGACAGUUCGGUCCCUAUCUACCGUGGGCGCUGGAAAUUUGAGAGGAUCUGCUCCUAGUACGAGAGGACCAGAGUGGACGAACCUCUGGUGUACCGGUUGUGACGCCAGUCGCAUCGCCGGGUAGCUAUGUUCGGAAGGGAUAACCGCUGAAAGCAUCUAAGCGGGAAGCCUACCUCAAGAUAAGAUUUCCCUAGGACUUUAUGUCCUCUAAAGAGCCGUUCGAGACUAGGACGUUGAUAGGUUGGAUGUGGAAGCAUAGUGAUAUGUGAAGCUGACCAAUACUAAUUGCUCGUGAGGCUUGACUAUACAACACCCAAGCAGUUG